This 374-nucleotide ribosomal RNA is filed under the name uncultured organism. RNAcentral describes it as "partial 16S ribosomal RNA". It matches the Rfam family "Bacterial small subunit ribosomal RNA", at positions 527 to 896 of the family's 1533-position model. The record is from RNAcentral.
GUAGGUGGCAAGCGUUGUCCGGAAUUAUUGGGCGUAAAGCGCGCGCAGGUGGGGUCCUUUAAGUCUGAUGUGAAAGCCCCCGGGCUCAACCGGGGAGGGUCAUUGGAAACUGGGGAACUUGAGUGCAGGAGAGGAAAGUGGAAUUCCACGUGUAGCGGUGAAAUGCGUAGAUAUGUGGAGGAACACCAGUGGCGAAGGCGACUUUCUGGCCUGUAACUGACACUGAGGCGCGAAAGCGUGGGGAGCAAACAGGAUUAGAUACCCUGGUAGUCCACGCCGUAAACGAUGAGUGCUAAGUGUUGGGGGGUUUCCGCCCCUCAGUGCUGCAGCUAACGCAUUAAGCACUCCGCCUGGGGAGUACGGUCGCAAGACUG